This 490-nucleotide ribosomal RNA is filed under the name uncultured bacterium. Its description in RNAcentral is "partial 16S ribosomal RNA". It matches the Rfam family "Bacterial small subunit ribosomal RNA", at positions 30 to 507 of the family's 1533-position model. The record is from RNAcentral.
AUUGAACGCUGGCGGCAGGCCUAACACAUGCAAGUCGAACGGUAACAGGAAGCAGCUUGCUGCUUCGCUGACGAGUGGCGGACGGGUGAGUAAUGUCUGGGAAGCUGCCUGAUGGAGGGGGAUAACUACUGGAAACGGUAGCUAAUACCGCAUAAUGUCGCAAGACCAAAGAGGGGGACCUUCGGGCCUCUUGCCAUCGGAUGUGCCCAGAUGGGAUUAGCUUGUUGGUGGGGUAACGGCUCACCAAGGCGACGAUCCCUAGCUGGUCUGAGAGGAUGACCAGCCACACUGGGACUGAGACACGGUCCAGACUCCUACGGGAGGCAGCAGUGGGGAAUAUUGCACAAUGGGCGCAAGCCUGAUGCAGCCAUGCCGCGUGUAUGAAGAAGGCCUUCGGGUUGUAAAGUACUUUCAGCAGGGAGGAAGGGAGUAAAGUUAAUACCUUUGCUCAUUGACGUUACCCGCAGAAGAAGCACCGGCUAACUCCGUG